ACACUGUAGUUCAUGUUUAGCUAGCUGAAACAAUGUGUAUGGUUUUGGAUUUGGAAUACUGCGGAGAACAGGAUUGCCUUUUUAAAAUGCCUUUGGCUUUGUCCAUUUUGUCUCUUCGCACAAUGACUUGAGGGUAAGUGUGAUUUACCUGACUGACAGAGGGUCCAGCUUAACUGUAGCUGUUCUAACAAGGCUGUUUUAGCCCAAUGCUUUGCUGUGAUAUUUAUUCCAAAGAGAUAAUAACUUCAUACGAAUCAAUGCCAUGUUUGUCUCUUGUUUUUGCCAAUUAUGACAAUGAGCAUUGACCCAUUAGGGAUAUUAAUAAUACAUAGUGCUUUUUGAAGGACCCAAAGUCAGAGUUCAAUCGCAUUGACGUCUUUUACGCCAGUUAUUAUUUGUCUCAGUCCGUUGUGUCCAAACUCUGUAAGCGUGAUGGUUGACCACCACGGCCAGUCUCUGGUUUUACAGUGAGGUCCCUGUUGCACACCCAUCCAUAAUGGUUGUACAGUGAGGUCCCUGUUGCACACCCAUCCAUAAAUAGGCUGAACAACACAGGGAGCUGACCUGAUAAGCUAACAGUUUAGGCAUUAAGGUAAAAGCACCACUUACUGUUCAGCAAAUCCUCCCUGGUUUCAAAGCACAACAAGGGGAUGUGAGGCUCUUUACUUAAAUGGAAUGUGUUUAAACCUUCAUCGAUGCCAUAGAAACCACCAUGUUUCAAAACCGUUGGGUGUACUACACACAGUAAAGUCCCUUCCUCCAGCACAGGGAAAUCAUAUUAGCUAUGCAUGUUCCCACACAUGGGAAAAGCUUACAAUCCUCAUUUGCUUUGAAAUAGUUAAAUAAGUAUGUAUGAGAACUUAUGAGUUGUGUUUUUGGUACAUUGGAAUAUUCUCCUUAUACUGAGAUACCAUGUGAAUAUUUCAUAACAUUUUGUUGCUCAUAAAGGCAUCUGAUAAGGUUUCCACAGCUAAGAUGAGCUACAGUCAUUUAAAUGGUACUAGUCAUUGCCAGGAAUCAAGGCUAAUAGACAGUGUAUAAAACAUUAGGAACACCUUCCCUCGGAAUAGCCUCAAUUCGUCAGGGCAUGGACUCUACAAGAUUGGCUUGUGGAGUCCAUGUUGGCUCCAAUGCUUUCCACAGUUGUGUCAAGUUGGCUGGAUGUCCUUGGGGUUGUGGACCAUUCUUGAUACACAAGGGAAACUGUUGAGCAUGAAAAAUCCAGCAGCGUUGCAGUUCUUGACACAAAACAGUGUGCCUGGCAGCUAGUUCCAUACCCUGUUCAAAGUCAGUCAAAUAUUUUGUCUCGUCCAUUUACCCUCUGAAUGGCACAUACACAAUCCAUGUCUUAAUUGUGUCAAGGCUUAAAAAUCUUUUAACCUGUCUCCUCCCCUUCAUCUACACUGAUUUAAGUGGAUUUAACAGGUGACAUCAAUAGGGGAUCAUAGACUGACCAGGUGGAUCCAGGGGAAAGCUAUGUCAUGGAAAGAGCAGUUGUUCUUAAUGUUUUGUAUUCUCACUGUAAAGUAAACGUUCCAGUUAGGGUAACUUGGUGUAACACGCACUCUGCCUGUACAUCUCACAGGAACCACUUCAUGUCACAAUUUUUCCCCAACACUUUCCCCUGGUUGUCACUGUUUCUCAACAAAAAAGUUAUAUUGGUCUCAUCACAAAAUG
Molecule: long non-coding RNA, 1677 nt
Filed under: Salmo salar (Atlantic salmon)
Lineage: Eukaryota; Metazoa; Chordata; Actinopteri; Salmoniformes; Salmonidae
Description: lncRNA (ENSSSAG00000082706.1, ENSSSAG00000116594.1)
Source: RNAcentral